CAGCAGCCACGGGAAUACGAAGGGUGCAAGCGUUACUCGGAAUUACUGGGCGUAAAGCGUGCGUAGGUGGUUGUUUAAGUCUGCUGUGAAAGCCCUGGGCUCAACCUGGGAAUUGCAGUGGAUACUGGGCAACUAGAGUAAGGUAGAGGAUAGUGGAAUUUCCGGUGUAGCAGUGAAAUGCGUAGAGAUCGGAAGGAACAUCUGUGGCGAAGGCGACUAUCUGGGCCAUUACUGACACUGAGGCACGAAAGCGUGGGGAGCAAACAGGAUUAGAGACCCCGGUAGUCCCUGUCUCUUAUAA
RNAcentral lists this ribosomal RNA (301 nucleotides) under uncultured bacterium. RNAcentral describes it as "partial 16S ribosomal RNA". It matches the Rfam family "Bacterial small subunit ribosomal RNA", at positions 509 to 809 of the family's 1533-position model. The record is from RNAcentral.